GCCUUCGUGGUGUAGUGGUCAGCACACUCGGCGCGUAUUCGACAGGUCCAUGGUUCGAGUCCCGGCGAGGGCA
Non-coding RNA from Stegodyphus mimosarum, 73 nucleotides. NCBI's taxonomy places the organism in Eukaryota, Metazoa, Arthropoda, Arachnida, Araneae, Eresidae. The record is from Rfam.